Molecule: unclassified non-coding RNA, 338 nt
Filed under: Diplokeleba floribunda
Lineage: Eukaryota; Viridiplantae; Streptophyta; Magnoliopsida; Sapindales; Sapindaceae
Description: partial external transcribed spacer
Source: RNAcentral
CUGUGUUGCUUACCAUUGCGACGGAAUUCGGUGAUUUUGAUGCCUACAUCCGCCCGGUGCCCGUCGGGGUGUUGGGUGGACGACAGGCCGGCCUCGUGCUCCNGGCACGUCUCGUAUCGAUGCGUGGCUGCCGCGGCGCACGGGGUUGUGCCCGUUCUCUCGGAUCCGGAUCGUUAUACGUGCGGGCGAGGGGCUACGGCCUCCGUCCGUCCGCGUUACGCAUUUGUCCCUCGACACGAACGACCGCCGCACUCGUCUUGGCUGGCUCCCCGAGUCACCGUGCGCGUGUCGGCGUCGUGAAGGAAUGCUACCUGGUUGAUCCUGCCAGUAGUCAUAUG